AGAGUUUGAUCCUGGCUCAGGACGAACGCUGGCGGCGCGCCUAACACAUGCAAGUCGAACGAGCGAGAGAGAGCUUGCUUUCUCGAGCGAGUGGCGAACGGGUGAGUAACGCGUGAGGAACCUGCCUCAAAGAGGGGGACAACAGUUGGAAACGACUGCUAAUACCGCAUAAGCCCACGGCUCGGCAUCGAGCAGAGGGAAAAGGAGCAAUCCGCUUUGAGAUGGCCUCGCGUCCGAUUAGCUAGUUGGUGAGGUAACGGCCCACCAAGGCAACGAUCGGUAGCCGGACUGAGAGGUUGAACGGCCACAUUGGGACUGAGACACGGCCCAGACUCCUACGGGAGGCAGCAGUGGGGAAUAUUGCACAAUGGGGGAAACCCUGAUGCAGCGACGCCGCGUGGAGGAAGAAGGUCUUCGGAUUGUAAACUCCUGUUGUUGGGGAAGAUAAUGACGGUACCCAACAAGGAAGUGACGGCUAACUACGUGCCAGCAGCCGCGGUAAAACGUAGGUCACAAGCGUUGUCCGGAAUUACUGGGUGUAAAGGGAGCGCAGGCGGGAAGACAAGUUGGAAGUGAAAUCUAUGGGCUCAACCCAUAAACUGCUUUCAAAACUGUUUUUCUUGAGUAGUGCAGAGGUAGGCGGAAUUCCCGGUGUAGCGGUGGAAUGCGUAGAUAUCGGGAGGAACACCAGUGGCGAAGGCGGCCUACUGGGCACCAACUGACGCUGAGGCUCGAAAGUGUGGGUAGCAAACAGGAUUAGAUACCCUGGUAGUCCACACCGUAAACGAUGAUUACUAGGUGUUGGAGGAUUGACCCCUUCAGUGCCGCAGUUAACACGAUAAGUAAUCCACCUGGGGAGUACGACCGCAAGGUUGAAACUCAAAGGAAUUGACGGGGGCCCGCACAAGCAGUGGAGUAUGUGGUUUAAUUCGACGCAACGCGAAGAACCUUACCAAGUCUUGACAUCCCUUGACAGGCAUAGAAAUAUGUUUUCUCUUCGGAGCAAGGAGACAGGUGGUGCAUGGUUGUCGUCAGCUCGUGUCGUGAGAUGUUGGGUUAAGUCCCGCAACGAGCGCAACCCUUAUGGUCAGUUACUACGCAAGAGGACUCUGGCCAGACUGCCGUUGACAAAACGGAGGAAGGUGGGGAUGACGUCAAAUCAUCAUGCCCUUUAUGACUUGGGCUACACACGUGCUACAAUGGCGUAAACAAAGAGAAGCGAACUCGCGAGGGUAAGCAAAUCUCAAAAAUAACGUCUCAGUUCGGAUUGUAGUCUGCAACUCGACUACAUGAAGCUGGAAUCGCUAGUAAUCGCAGAUCAGAAUGCUGCGGUGAAUACGUUCCCGGGUCUUGUACACACCGCCCGUCACACCAUGGGAGUCAGUAACGCCCGAAGUCAGUGACCCAACCGUAAGGAGGGAGCUGCCGAAGGUGGGACCGAUAACUGGGGUGAAGUCGUAACAAGGUA
RNAcentral lists this ribosomal RNA (1468 nucleotides) under metagenome. RNAcentral's name for it is "bacterial SSU rRNA". It matches the Rfam family "Bacterial small subunit ribosomal RNA". The record is from RNAcentral.